GUUCUAGCAUCUGGCCGGGGCGGCAGCCUGAGAGCCAUGGAGCCGCUGGGUGCAACACUGUCCUGCCCGUGUGCAUGGAGCUGCUUACGUUGCCUGCACUGCUGCUGUCCUGUUCCCACAACUUCUGCAAACAGUGCCUGGAGCUGAUCUUGGUUUACCAGAAUUGCACCCAGGUCCAGGGAUGGUUCUGUUGUCCAGUGUGUAGGAAAGACAUUUAUUUGAAGGGCAGGGGAACAAAUGGAUUGCAGGGAAACAUCCUGGCUGAAAAUAUCCUGGAAAAGCUUAAGGAAGUACUUGAGACACUUCACACCGGGGAGCAAAACCAGCUCGCUCAGAUGUGUGAAAAGCGUGGAAAAAUCAUGAAUCUGUUGUGCCUAAGUGAUGAAAAGCCAAUAUGCAGGAUAUUCAAGCUCUCUGGGGACCACAGUUCUCACCAGGUAGCCAAGAUUGCUGAUGUGUACACAGAAAGGAAAGCUAGCUUUGCUGAGGACAUUCAGCAGGUGCUGCAGAGAUCUGAGAGCACAGCCCAGGAAACGGAGCUUGGGAUCUGCAGCUAAGAGGACUUCCUUCUCCCAGUCCAUGUUUACAUUUCCAGGAAGGGACACUG
Homo sapiens (human) is the source of this 607-nucleotide RNA transcript. It is a transcript of the gene named tripartite motif-containing protein 54-like, with no coding region annotated. The transcript is spliced from 4 exons. The record is from RefSeq and is marked validated. NCBI's taxonomy places the organism in Eukaryota, Metazoa, Chordata, Mammalia, Primates, Hominidae.